GAAAGGAGGAACCCGCCUGCUCCGGCCCUUACCGUUUCUUUCAGAUUCCCAAAAAUCAUCUCCCAAUUUAUGGGAAAAUGCGGGUCCAUUUCGCAACCCGAAUCCGAUUCGCGAACCCGUUCCCGAACCUGAAUCCGAGCCCGUUUUGAUACGCGUCCCCGACCAUCCUCCUCCGCCUCCUCAAGCUCCCUCCUUCCCCAGCCGGAUCGCCGCCAUCGUCUGCCGCGGCUCCGCGAAAAUGGUGGAAACGGCCCGCUCCACCAAUCCGAAGCGACCCGUUUGCCCGUCCUGCUCCAAGCCCCCGCGCACGUGCCUCUGCACCCGGAUCCGAUCUCCGCGUCUCGACCACCCCGUCCGCGUCACCGUCCUCCAGCACAGCCUGGAGCGGAAGCACCCCCUCAAUUCCACCCGAAUCUUGACGCUCGGGCUCAAGAACGUCGCCGUCGCCGCCGUUUCCGACGUCAACUCCGGCGCCGAGUUCUCGAUCUCGCCGCUCGAGCAAGACUCCGAAAUCAGCGCCAAUGGAUUGGUAUCUGGAGUGGAGGUGGGAAGCCCUAAUUCGGUCGUCGAAUCGAAUGGAGCUUAUCGUCCUGGGGAUGAUAGGGACUGCGGUUCGAUUGCCCCGAACGGUGGGGAGGUUUCGGAGGAUUCCCAGGUGCCGCAGAACUCGCGCGCUUGUGGAGUCUUGUCUAGAAGUACUAGCAAACCCGUUAUCAGUUUUCGAAUGGGCAAGAAGGGGAUUAUCUAAUCGAUAGACCAUGUUUGGAUGUCUCGAAUCGGUCAUCAAGGAGCUGAUUUCGAUGCCAUAUUAGAAUGUGAGUCGGCUCGUGAUGUUCUGUGGAAUGGAUUUGUGGUUAAGAAGUUGCAAACCCUUCUAUCAAACCUGAGCUUGGAGCCUGAAGAGUGUGAGGAAUUUGUGCUGGAGGUGCCGCAAGGGUCAGUGCUUCUGUUCCCGACCGAGAAUGCACUCAGCAUUGACGAACUCAAGGCAGCUGAGUUCAAAGUCAGGAACUUGAUUGUGCUGGAUGGCACGUGGAUGAAGGCGAAAAGAAUCUACAGCGAGAAUCCUUGGUUGAAGUUGUUGCCUCAUCUGAAGUUGGAUUCGGAGGUGAUGAGCUUGUACGGAGAAGUUAGAAGUUAGAAGUCAGCCUAAGGCUGGAUGUUUGUCCACUCUCGAGAGUGUCAUUUACACGAUGAAGGCGGUUGGGGGCAGUCCGGAGGGGCUGGAUCAACUGUUAGAUGUUUUCGAGUCAAUGGUUGAUGAUCAGAGACGAUGUAAAGAUGAAAGAUUGGGCAAAUCAGAGAAUCUCUAUGCAGAUUCGACAAAUCUAAAAAGAUGACAGGAUUAGAGG
RNA transcript from Eucalyptus grandis, 1352 nucleotides. RefSeq lists it as uncharacterized. Lineage: Eukaryota; Viridiplantae; Streptophyta; Magnoliopsida; Myrtales; Myrtaceae. The transcript has 2 exons. The record is from RefSeq and is a predicted model, not a curated record.